UGCAAGUCGAACGGUAACAGGGAGCUUGCUCCGCUGACGAGUGGCGAACGGGUGAGUAAUAUAUCGGAACGUACCCAAGAGUGGGGGAUAACGUAGCGAAAGUUACGCUAAUACCGCAUACGAUCUAUGGAUGAAAGCAGGGGAUCUUCGGACCUUGUGCUCCUGGAGCGGCCGAUAUCUGAUUAGCUAGUUGGUGAGGUAAAGGCUCACCAAGGCGACGAUCAGUAGCUGGUCUGAGAGGACGACCAGCCACACUGGAACUGAGACACGGUCCAGACUCCUACGGGAGGCAGCAGUGGGGAAUUUUGGACAAUGGGCGCAAGCCUGAUCCAGCAAUGCCGCGUGAGUGAAGAAGGCCUUCGGGUUGUAAAGCUCUUUUGUCAGGGAAGAAACGGGUUUGGCUAAUAUCCAGUCCUAAUGACGGUACCUGAAGAAUAAGCACCGGCUAACUACGUGCCAGCAGCCGCGGUAAUACGUAGGGUGCAAGCGUUAAUCGGAAUUACUGGGCGUAAAGCGUGCGCAGGCGGUUUUGUAAGUCUGUCGUGAAAUCCCCGGGCUCAACCUGGGAAUUGCGAUGGAGACUGCAAGGCUAGAAUCUGGCAGAGGGGGGUAGAAUUCCACGUGUAGCAGUGAAAUGCGUAGAGAUGUGGAGGAACACCGAUGGCGAAGGCAGCCCCCUGGGUCAAGAUUGACGCUCAUGCACGAAAGCGUGGGGAGCAAACAGGAUUAGAUACCCUGGUAGUCCACGCCCUAAACGAUGUCUACUAGUUGUCGGGUUUUAAUUAACUUGGUAACGCAGCUAACGCGUGAAGUAGACCGCCUGGGGAGUACGGUCGCAAGAUUAAAACUCAAAGGAAUUGACGGGGACCCGCACAAGCGGUGGAUGAUGUGGAUUAAUUCGAUGCAACGCGAAAAACCUUACCUACCCUUGACAUGUCAGGAAKACUGRAGAGAUYUGGCAGUGCCCGAAAGGGAACCUGAACACAGGUGCUGCAUGGCUGUCGUCAGCUCGUGUCGUGAGAUGUUGGGUUAAGUCCCGCAACGAGCGCAACCCUUGUCAUUAGUUGCUACAUUUAGUUGAGCACUCUAAUGAGACUGCCGGUGACAAACCGGAGGAAGGUGGGGAUGACGUCAAGUCCUCAUGGCCCUUAUGGGUAGGGCUUCACACGUCAUACAAUGGUACAUACAGAGGGCCGCCAACCCGCGAGGGGGAGCUAAUCCCAGAAAGUGUAUCGUAGUCCGGAUCGUAGUCUGCAACUCGACUACGUGAAGUUGGAAUCGCUAGUAAUCGCGGAUCAGCAUGUCGCGGUGAAUACGUUCCCGGGUCUUGUACACACCGCCCGUCACACCAUGGGAGCGGGUUUUACCAGAAGUAGGUAGCUUAACCGCAAGGAGGGCGCUACCA
Molecule: ribosomal RNA, 1405 nt
Filed under: Massilia sp.
Lineage: Bacteria; Pseudomonadati; Pseudomonadota; Betaproteobacteria; Burkholderiales; Oxalobacteraceae
Description: bacterial SSU rRNA
Source: RNAcentral